GAAAAGGACAUAGUACGUCCAUACGUACGGCCAGUGUUGUAACAUCCCAAUAAUAAUAAUAAUAAAAGAAAGAAAAAGAAUUAAAAGAAUUAAAAAGGAAGAAAAAAGAAAAGAAAAGAAAAGAAAGAAAGAUAAAUGAAAUUUUGGGUUAAGGACAAGUGGCAUUUUGCUAGCCACUUAAUUAAUUAAAAAAAAAAAAAAAGAGAAAGAAGAGAAAAAGAGAAAAGAAAAGAGGAAAGAAAAGAAAGUGUCAGAAGAAGAACAACUUCUUCAAUUUUCUUUUCUCUGUGCCGUGAACCCAAGAGAAGAGCCAUCUUCUUUAUUUUCUUCCUACACCAAAAAUUUCUCCAAAUUUCCAUCUUCAAUCAACUACCCAUCUUACCCCAACACCUN
RNAcentral lists this long non-coding RNA (393 nucleotides) under Manihot esculenta (cassava). Its description in RNAcentral is "long non-coding RNA (MESC_LNC003599)". The record is from RNAcentral. Lineage: Eukaryota; Viridiplantae; Streptophyta; Magnoliopsida; Malpighiales; Euphorbiaceae.